AACGGGGCUGAUCACCCUCCGUGCCCGUAAGUUAUGACGGUUUGCGGAUGAAUUUCUGCUAAACCUUUUCGAAAAUGAAAAACAAUGUUCAUAGUAUGUUUCUUAAACCCUAUUCAUGGGUGGAGCCUAAUUUCAAGAAAUUGAAAGAGAGUUGUUAUGUGAAUCUUUUAUCAGUACAGAUUACUUCACAACUUUUGAUUCGUUGUAGAAGUGUUAUGUAAAGAGAAUACUUAUAUUCUUUCAGCUUAUAUUUAUAAUUGCUAUUACUUGCUGGGCACUCAAAUGCUUAUCCUUGCUUAAAUUAAAUGUUUUCAGUUACGUACGAUCGACCUGAAGGCUCAGGCACGAACAAGGGAAAAGAAAAGCUAUUCGAAUGAGAUUUAGUAUGAGUUAAUGGUUAUAGUUAGUAAGACAAUGGAAUCUAUUGUCAGAUAUUGUAAGGAAUGUAUUUGAAGGUCACGUACCUGGGGAAGUAAACUUUGAUGUAUGUAAAUUAAGUUCGAAUGUAUUAUUAUUUAGUAUUAUUCAGCUUAAAGAAAUGGUAUCGUGGAGAACCGAGUUCGGGUUUCAAGUAUCCGGAUUUGGGGUCGCCACAC
This 596-nucleotide long non-coding RNA is filed under the name Panax ginseng (ginseng). Its description in RNAcentral is "long non-coding RNA (PGIN_LNC015211)". Lineage: Eukaryota; Viridiplantae; Streptophyta; Magnoliopsida; Apiales; Araliaceae. The record is from RNAcentral.